RNAcentral lists this transfer RNA (66 nucleotides) under Trichuris suis (pig whipworm). RNAcentral describes it as "tRNA-Ile". The record is from RNAcentral. Lineage: Eukaryota; Metazoa; Nematoda; Enoplea; Trichinellida; Trichuridae.
UAAACAAAACCUAAUAUUAUAGGGUUACAGUGAUAGUGUAAUUAAGUGUGUUAAUCACUUGUUUAA